This is a long non-coding RNA of Tachysurus fulvidraco (yellow catfish), 885 nucleotides long. RefSeq lists it as uncharacterized. The transcript is spliced from 2 exons. The record is from RefSeq and is a predicted model, not a curated record. NCBI's taxonomy places the organism in Eukaryota, Metazoa, Chordata, Actinopteri, Siluriformes, Bagridae.
UGAAAUAUCAUCCACAGGUACACGUGAAAUAUCAUCUACAGGAACACGUCAAACAUACGUCAAAUAUUAAAGGGAGAAUAUAAAUAAUAAAUAAAUCUAGCAUUCAUUUGCUUUGAUCCUUAUUAACACCUAGUUUCCAGAGUCGUUUUUACACAUAAACUCGGUGUUGGGAAUAAAAUUCCUCAUGAAAUCUUUUCCUUUAGGAAACGUGUCACUGGUGAAUGUUCCAGGACAAACACAGAAUGUUUACUCAUCUUUAAAUGAACACACAUACAGUCACACACACUGCCAGUCAUUUCUGACCUCAUAUAAUCGGACUGCACGUGUUAAAAUUUGAGGGAAAAACUCCAAUCCGGAAGUUUGAAAUGUAGCGGCGCGCUUGAACGCUGCACGCUUCCUCGGUAUUCCAGCAGUUCCCUUAGAGCUAUUUUUCCUGUGACGUCACCAAACACGACGGCAACGUUCCUUUACCCAUGAGCCUCUGUUUAAGGCAGAAAUGAAGCCCCAGUGUUUAGUUUGUGUUUUCAACAGAGCUGAUGAGGUUAAAAAGACCAGGGAAAGAUGUUUAGGUAUAAACCGGAACAUGAGAAACUUCUGAACCAUCAAGAUGUGAGUCAGUGGGCGAUGAGUCAAGGCAAAAUCAGAGGAGGCAUCAGAAGCAUUUUACUGGAAGACGUUAGACGUGAACAUGCCAGACGCUCCGUGUGAUCCCACCUCCGUCACCCACGUUCUCCUUCUAUCUGAAAGCUGCUGAUAAGAAACUCCCACACACUCGACAGCAUUCGGAGGAACAAAAUAAAAAACAAGGUUUAACCUGUUAACAGUGACGGUGAGAAAGCAGGUGGAAAAGUCAAACAAUACAAAAUUAAAAUCCCUGUUUUUUCA